GUACACGCUGUGACUAGCAUAUCAAUAAGCGGAGGAAAAGAGACUAACAAGGAUUCCCCUAGUAACGGCGAGUGAAGCGGGAAGAGCUCAAAUUUGAAAUCUUAAAGGGUUUCCCUUUACGAAUUGUAGUUUAAAGAAGUGUUUUCUGUUGAGGUUUUGGUAAAAGUUCUUUGGAAUAGGACAUCAUAGAGGGUGAGAAUCCCGUAUUUGACCUUUACUUUCAACUUUGUGAUACACUUUCAAAGAGUCGGAUUGUUUGGGAAUGCAGUCCAAAAUGGGUGGUAAAUUUCAUCUAAAGCUAAAUAUUGGCGAGAGACCGAUAGCGAACAAGUACCGUGAGGGAAAGAUGAAAAGAACUUUGAAAAGAGAGUUAAACAGUACGUGAAAUUGUCAAAAGGGAAGCGUUUGACACCAGUGUUGUUUUUCUGAAAAUCAAUUAAAGAACUGUUUAUGCUAAGUUGUUUAGACUUUAUCAGCUAUCUGUUUAGUUUUGAGCUUUUCUUUAAUGCACUUUUCAGUUAACAAGUCAACAUCAAUUUCUUUUGCUGUAAAAAAGCUUGAGGAAGGUGGCUUGAGAUUCGUCUUAAGUGUUUAUAGCCUCUUGCCUAUGCAGUCGGAGAGAUUGAGGUCUGCAGCGUAGAUCCUUCGGGGCUAAAUGCAUUUGUGCUAAGUUAUAGCAUUUUAUAGACAACUUGUUGACUAUGAUUUGUCUUGUAGCUUACUCGCUUAUGUUAUUUUACCUACGCUUAGGAUGUUGACGAGACUGUCGAUCUC
This 774-nucleotide ribosomal RNA is filed under the name uncultured Neocallimastigales. Its description in RNAcentral is "partial large subunit ribosomal RNA". It matches the Rfam family "Eukaryotic large subunit ribosomal RNA", at positions 22 to 646 of the family's 3401-position model. The record is from RNAcentral. Lineage: Eukaryota; Fungi; Neocallimastigomycota; Neocallimastigomycetes; Neocallimastigales.